ACGAUCUGCCGCGCCGUCAUUCCCGGCUUGACCGGGAAUCCCGGUGAGGAAAGUCCGCACAUGGCAGGGCGCCUGGCUGUGGAAAGCACAGAAGGGAGCAAUCUUUUCCGUCCGUAACAGAGAAUGACCGCCCGCAAGGGUAAGGGUGAAAACGCGGGGUAAGAGCCCACGACGGAUGUCAGCGAUGCCGUCCGGGUACGGAGACAAGGCCUGCAAGACCAAAUAUACUGACAGAUGAGGGCUGCCCGCCCGAUGUCAGGGGGUAGGUUGCGAAGAUAAAUGGCAGAUUCAAAAACAGAAACCGGCUUACGGCCCCGCCUUGUUU
This 325-nucleotide RNase P RNA is filed under the name Bacteroidales bacterium. Its description in RNAcentral is "partial RNase P RNA component class A". It matches the Rfam family "Bacterial RNase P class A". From Rfam's summary of the family: Ribonuclease P (RNase P) is a ubiquitous endoribonuclease, found in archaea, bacteria and eukarya as well as chloroplasts and mitochondria. Its best characterised activity is the generation of mature 5'-ends of tRNAs by cleaving the 5'-leader elements of precursor-tRNAs. Cellular RNase Ps are ribonucleoproteins. The record is from RNAcentral. Lineage: Bacteria; Pseudomonadati; Bacteroidota; Bacteroidia; Bacteroidales.